RNAcentral lists this ribosomal RNA (2932 nucleotides) under Klebsiella aerogenes. Its description in RNAcentral is "23S ribosomal RNA". It matches the Rfam family "Bacterial large subunit ribosomal RNA". Lineage: Bacteria; Pseudomonadati; Pseudomonadota; Gammaproteobacteria; Enterobacterales; Enterobacteriaceae. The record is from RNAcentral.
GGGUUGUGAGGUUAAGCGACUAAGCGUACACGGUGGAUGCCCUGGCAGUCAGAGGCGAUGAAGGACGUGCUAAUCUGCGAAAAGCGUCGGUAAGGUGAUAUGAACCGUUACAGCCGGCGAUGUCCGAAUGGGGAAACCCAGUGCAAUUCGUUGCACUAUCGUUAACUGAAUACAUAGGUUAACGAGGCGAACCGGGGGAACUGAAACAUCUAAGUACCCCGAGGAAAAGAAAUCAACCGAGAUUCCCCCAGUAGCGGCGAGCGAACGGGGAGCAGCCCAGAGUCUGAAUCAGCUUGUGUGUUAGUGGAACGGUCUGGAAAGUCCGACGGUACAGGGUGAUAGUCCCGUACACCAAAAUGCACAGGUUGUGAACUCGAAGAGUAGGGCGGGACACGUGGUAUCCUGUCUGAAUAUGGGGGGACCAUCCUCCAAGGCUAAAUACUCCUGACUGACCGAUAGUGAACCAGUACCGUGAGGGAAAGGCGAAAAGAACCCCGGCGAGGGGAGUGAAAAAGAACCUGAAACCGUGUACGUACAAGCAGUGGGAGCACCUUCGGGUGUGACUGCGUACCUUUUGUAUAAUGGGUCAGCGACUUAUAUUCUGUAGCAAGGUUAACCGUAUAGGGGAGCCGCAGGGAAACCGAGUCUUAACUGGGCGUUAAGUUGCAGGGUAUAGACCCGAAACCCGGUGAUCUAGCCAUGGGCAGGUUGAAGGUUGGGUAACACUAACUGGAGGACCGAACCGACUAAUGUUGAAAAAUUAGCGGAUGACUUGUGGCUGGGGGUGAAAGGCCAAUCAAACCGGGAGAUAGCUGGUUCUCCCCGAAAGCUAUUUAGGUAGCGCCUCGUGAACUCAUCUUCGGGGGUAGAGCACUGUUUCGGCUAGGGGGUCAUCCCGACUUACCAACCCGAUGCAAACUACGAAUACCGAAGAAUGUUAUCACGGGAGACACACGGCGGGUGCUAACGUCCGUCGUGAAGAGGGAAACAACCCAGACCGCCAGCUAAGGUCCCAAAGUCACAGUUAAGUGGGAAACGAUGUGGGAAGGCACAGACAGCCAGGAUGUUGGCUUAGAAGCAGCCAUCAUUUAAAGAAAGCGUAAUAGCUCACUGGUCGAGUCGGCCUGCGCGGAAGAUGUAACGGGGCUAAACUGUGCACCGAAGCUGCGGCAGCGACACUAUGUGUUGUUGGGUAGGGGAGCGUUCUGUAAGCCUGCGAAGGUGGCCUGUGAGGGUUGCUGGAGGUAUCAGAAGUGCGAAUGCUGACAUAAGUAACGAUAAUGCGGGUGAAAAGCCCGCACGCCGGAAGACCAAGGGUUCCUGUCCAACGUUAAUCGGGGCAGGGUGAGUCGACCCCUAAGGCGAGGCCGAAAGGCGUAGUCGAUGGGAAACAGGUUAAUAUUCCUGUACUUGGUGUUACUGCGAAGGGGGGACGGAGAAGGCUAUGUUAGCCGGGCGACGGUUGUCCCGGUUUAAGCAUGUAGGCGGAGGUUCCAGGUAAAUCCGGUACCUUUUUAACGCUGAGGUGUGAUGACGAGGCACUACGGUGCUGAAGUAACAAAUGCCCUGCUUCCAGGAAAAGCCUCUAAGCAUCAGGUAACAUUGAAUCGUACCCCAAACCGACACAGGUGGUCAGGUAGAGAAUACCAAGGCGCUUGAGAGAACUCGGGUGAAGGAACUAGGCAAAAUGGUGCCGUAACUUCGGGAGAAGGCACGCUGAUAUGUAGGUGAAGCCCCUGCGGGUGGAGCUGAAAUCAGUCGAAGAUACCAGCUGGCUGCAACUGUUUAUUAAAAACACAGCACUGUGCAAACACGAAAGUGGACGUAUACGGUGUGACGCCUGCCCGGUGCCGGAAGGUUAAUUGAUGGGGUUAUCCGUAAGGAGAAGCUCUUGAUCGAAGCCCCGGUAAACGGCGGCCGUAACUAUAACGGUCCUAAGGUAGCGAAAUUCCUUGUCGGGUAAGUUCCGACCUGCACGAAUGGCGUAAUGAUGGCCAGGCUGUCUCCACCCGAGACUCAGUGAAAUUGAACUCGCUGUGAAGAUGCAGUGUACCCGCGGCAAGACGGAAAGACCCCGUGAACCUUUACUAUAGCUUGACACUGAACAUUGAGCCUUGAUGUGUAGGAUAGGUGGGAGGCUUUGAAGCGUGGACGCCAGUCUGCGUGGAGCCAACCUUGAAAUACCACCCUUUAAUGUUUGAUGUUCUAACGUUGGCCCCUAAUCGGGGUUGCGGACAGUGUCUGGUGGGUAGUUUGACUGGGGCGGUCUCCUCCCAAAGAGUAACGGAGGAGCACGAAGGUUAGCUAAUCCUGGUCGGACAUCAGGAGGUUAGUGCAAUGGCAUAAGCUAGCUUGACUGCGAGCGUGACGGCGCGAGCAGGUGCGAAAGCAGGUCAUAGUGAUCCGGUGGUUCUGAAUGGAAGGGCCAUCGCUCAACGGAUAAAAGGUACUCCGGGGAUAACAGGCUGAUACCGCCCAAGAGUUCAUAUCGACGGCGGUGUUUGGCACCUCGAUGUCGGCUCAUCACAUCCUGGGGCUGAAGUAGGUCCCAAGGGUAUGGCUGUUCGCCAUUUAAAGUGGUACGCGAGCUGGGUUUAGAACGUCGUGAGACAGUUCGGUCCCUAUCUGCCGUGGGCGCUGGAGAAUUGAGGGGGGCUGCUCCUAGUACGAGAGGACCGGAGUGGACGCAUCACUGGUGUUCGGGUUGUCAUGCCAAUGGCAUUGCCCGGUAGCUAAAUGCGGAAGAGAUAAGUGCUGAAAGCAUCUAAGCACGAAACUUGCCCCGAGAUGAGUUCUCCCUGAGACUUUAAGUCUCCUGAAGGAACGUUAAAGACGAUGACGUUGAUAGGUCGGGUGUGUAAGCGUAGCGAUACGUUGAGCUAACCGAUACUAAUGAACCGUGAGGCUUAACCUUACAACGCCGAAGGUGUUU